Molecule: long non-coding RNA, 1135 nt
Organism: Anguilla rostrata (American eel)
Lineage: Eukaryota; Metazoa; Chordata; Actinopteri; Anguilliformes; Anguillidae
Exons: 4
Source: RefSeq, a predicted model, not a curated record
AGAAGGGCUCGUGUAGGCGUGUCCGGCCCACUAGUCUGGCUAGCGAGUCGAGUACUGUUUCGUUGAGUUUUUCCCCAGUCUUAGAAGACGAAUUUAUACGUCUUACUGUAGAUGCUACUGUAUAAAAGCAUUUCCGACUUUCUGGUUACUGUAGCAUGUCCUAGCUUUGUCUGAAAAUGUCCGCUGAGCGAAGCCACUGGUAACUUGGCAAGGUAGCUAGUUCCCAGCACACUAGAUACCUAGCAACCAUUUUAAGUAACGCGAACAAAACCACUAGGUGCAUACUGCCACCUACUGUGCGGAACGAAUAUACUGCAGUGUCACCCUUGCACGUUUGUGGACUCUGUCAUGGUUACAGCAAAAACAGAAGUUGGAUUGACUUCCUGGAUCCGUUGUCCUGGCAACUUUCAAAAGGGAUUCCAUCACUCCCUUGAUUGGAAGAAACAUGAACAGAAAGCUGGAAAAUUGUUGUUUCAAUAAUCCUACUUCACCUCUGGCCCUAAACGAGGUUAAAACAGAAAUGAAAAAAAAAAGUCAGAACAGAGUCAGACCUACGUGUUUUACAAUGACGUUAUAGAUACUGAUGAGAUUAAGUAUUCUAUUUUAACAGAUGCAAGAACAAUUUACUCUAUGAAGAUAAACUGCUGCUUCACUGCUCCAUGUCCAUAGAAUUAAAAACCAAAGCUGCACCUACACUUAAAUUGCAUGUACCUCUUUCCACAAAAAAAUCUUGUACACACCUGCCCUGGGUCACUGUGUGUGUAGCUCCAUGCACCUGUUCCAGAACCACUGUACUCACAUUCUGUAGUCUUGCAGACAAGGGCCCACAUCCAUCAAGCGUUGAUUAGGAAUGCUGAUCAGGUUUUCCCUGUCCUUAUGCCAACCUAAUCCAUUACGAAAAAAGAGAAGGUUUUUUGGCAAUUCUAAGUCAGUGCUCUGGAACUCCAAUGGUUUCAAUUACCCAGUAGUGAUUGUUACAUCAGCAUUAGAAUGUUAAGAUAAGAACAUUCUAAUCACACAUUUGUGCUCUUGGACCCCUUUCACCUAUUUUCUCAUGGAAACAUUGCAUUCUCCUUACCUUACGGUGGACUGUCUGUGUCUUCAUCCUGCCCCCACUCAUUCUGCCCGUUCACAC